UUAGAAAAUCAUUAUAAUUUGUACAAAAAUGGUUAUAAGAUAAAAUUUAUAUUCUUAGACUCCUUAAUGAGUCUAGUUUCAAAUGAAAUCAAAUAUAACAUAUUUUGAAUUCUGUACAAUGAGAAAUUUGAUUCGUAGUGAAGAGUGGUCAGAUUAGUCAAACAGUGAAACAGGGGAAACUUUAAGAAAAAUCUGGUAUUGAUUGGCCAAACCUAAAAUUCUGAAAAUUAUAUGGAUG
This 238-nucleotide long non-coding RNA is filed under the name Gossypium barbadense (sea-island cotton). RNAcentral describes it as "long non-coding RNA (GBAR_LNC000518)". Lineage: Eukaryota; Viridiplantae; Streptophyta; Magnoliopsida; Malvales; Malvaceae. The record is from RNAcentral.